Molecule: long non-coding RNA, 528 nt
Filed under: Lathyrus oleraceus (garden pea)
Lineage: Eukaryota; Viridiplantae; Streptophyta; Magnoliopsida; Fabales; Fabaceae
Description: Pisum sativum (pea) long non-coding RNA (PSAT_LNC035586)
Source: RNAcentral
UGACUGUAGGUUGUAGUAUCAUGUUGUGAUAUAAUGGUAAUUUGUUAAAAACCAAUAAUUAACACAAAUUGGAUGUAAUGUUGGAUGGCAUACAUCAUCUUCACUAUAUCUAACUUCUGCAAACUUUGUUAGGGACUGUAUGAUCAAAUCUUCAUGGCUUAUUGUCACCUCUUUGGGUUUUUUUUCCAAUAAUUCCUGAGAUACGGUAUAUUGUGGCAGUUCCCUCACCCAAGAGCAAUUAAACUCUAAAGGCUUCACCAUGUGCUUCUUUAGUAUCCCUGUAGUCAUCUUUCUUGCAGGGUAUGUAUUCAUGGGGAAACAAAGGCAAUCCGUCAUGACUAGCACGCUGUAAUUCGUCUCUUGAAUCAUCAACAAAGAAUAAAGUGGAUGAAACGCUAGUUGAUUCACCGUUAAAAGUAACAUGUUUCAUGGUUUGAAUAUUUGUGACAGAAACACCAGGUGGAGGAUAUUGUAAAUAACCAAUAGAUAUUGCCUCAGCAGUUAAAAGAUAUGGUGCAACAUGAGGGU